AGAGUUUGAUCAUGGCUCAGAUUGAACGCUGGCGGAAUGCUUUACACAUGCAAGUCGAACGGCAGCACGGGGCAACCUGGUGGCGAGUGGCGAACGGGUGAGUAAUACAUCGGAACGUGCCCAAUCGUGGGGGAUAACGUAGCGAAAGUUACGCUAAUACCGCAUACGACCUACGGAUGAAAGCGGGGGAUCGCAAGACCUCGCGCGAGUGGAGCGGCCGAUGUCAGAUUAGGUAGUUGGUGGGGUAAAGGCUCACCAAGCCAACGAUCUGUAGCUGGUCUGAGAGGACGACCAGCCACACUGGAACUGAGACACGGUCCAGACUCCUACGGGAGGCAGCAGUGGGGAAUUUUGGACAAUGGGCGCAAGCCUGAUCCAGCCAUUCCGCGUGCAGGAUGAAGGCCUUCGGGUUGUAAACUGCUUUUGUACGGAACGAAACGGCGAGCUCUAAUACAGUUUGCUAAUGACGGUACCGUAAGAAUAAGCACCGGCUAACUACGUG
This 502-nucleotide ribosomal RNA is filed under the name uncultured bacterium. RNAcentral describes it as "bacterial SSU rRNA". It matches the Rfam family "Bacterial small subunit ribosomal RNA", at positions 8 to 507 of the family's 1533-position model. The record is from RNAcentral.